GACGAACGCUGGCGGCGUGCUUAACACAUGCAAGUCGAACGGAAAGGCCCUGCUUUUGUGGGGUGCUCGAGUGGCGAACGGGUGAGUAACACGUGAGUAACCUGCCCUUGACUUUGGGAUAACUUCAGGAAACUGGGGCUAAUACCGGAUAGGAGCUCCUGCUGCAUGGUGGGGGUUGGAAAGUUUCGGCGGUUGGGGAUGGACUCGCGGCUUAUCAGCUUGUUGGUGGGGUAGUGGCUUACCAAGGCUUUGACGGGUAGCCUGCAUGAGAGGGUGGCCGGCCACAAUGGGACUGAGAUACGGCGCAGACUGCUACGGGAGGCAGCAGGGGGGAAUAUUGCACAAUGGGCGGAAGCCUGAUGCAGCAACGCCGCGUGCGGGAUGACGGCCUUCGGGGUGUAAACCGCUUUCGCCUGUGACGAAGCGUGAGUGACGGUAAUGGGUAAAGAAGCACCGGCUAACUACGUG
RNAcentral lists this ribosomal RNA (468 nucleotides) under uncultured bacterium. Its description in RNAcentral is "partial 16S ribosomal RNA". It matches the Rfam family "Bacterial small subunit ribosomal RNA", at positions 28 to 507 of the family's 1533-position model. The record is from RNAcentral.